AAAAAGAUGAUGAGAACUAAAUAUUAUACAAGAAGAAAGAGAAGAAGCAAGAAAAAAAAAAAAAAAAAAAAAGAAAAAACUGAAACUUGAAAUAAAGUGGCGAAAGAUAUUUCAAAUUUCUUUAUAACAAUUUUUCUUUUUUCUUUUUCCUUUUAGAAGAUAUAAUCUUAAUUAUAUUUUAUAAAAUAAAUUAAAAAAAAAUAUAAUUGUAAAAUCUUCUUAACAAGAACAAAUAAAAAAUAUUUGUAUUCCUAUUAUUUCAUCUAAUGAAAUAAUAAUUUACAAACUUGAUAAAAUAAAAAUAAUAAAAAAAUAAAAUAUAUCUUUAUGAAUAUUAGAGAUAAUUUUUAUAUAUUUUAUUUUUUUUUUAUUUAUCAAAACAACAAAAGGAAAAAAAAAAAAAGGAAAAUACAAAUAUAUAAAUAUAUAUAUAUAUAUAUAUAUAUAUACAUAUUUGUCAAUUGGACAAAAUUGUUUGCUCCUUAGACAAUAUGAACUUUUUUUUUUCUUUUUUUUUGCUUCUUCUCAUUUCUACUAUCAUGAUUGAAGAAUAAAACAAUCUUUGGUAAUCUGAUUUUUAAUGA
RNAcentral lists this small RNA (584 nucleotides) under Plasmodium billcollinsi. RNAcentral's name for it is "Plasmodium sp. DRC-Itaito small nucleolar RNA". The record is from RNAcentral. Lineage: Eukaryota; Apicomplexa; Aconoidasida; Haemosporida; Plasmodiidae.